Molecule: ribosomal RNA, 253 nt
Filed under: uncultured bacterium
Lineage: Bacteria
Description: partial 16S ribosomal RNA
Rfam family: Bacterial small subunit ribosomal RNA
Source: RNAcentral
UACGUAGGGGGCGAGCGUUGUCCGAAGUUACUGGGCGUAAAGCGCGCGUAGGCGGGUCUUUAAGUGAGGGGUGAAAGGUUCGGGCUCAACCCGGACACUGCCUUUCAUACUGGGGAUCUUGAGUGCGGGAGGGGCGAGUGGAAUGGUCGGUGUAGCGGUGAAAUGCGUAGAUAUCGAUCGGAACACCCAUGGCGAAGGCAGCUCGCUGGCCUGCAACUGACGCUGAGGCGCGAAAGCUAGGGGAGCAAACGGG